This 247-nucleotide ribosomal RNA is filed under the name uncultured bacterium. RNAcentral's name for it is "partial 16S ribosomal RNA". It matches the Rfam family "Bacterial small subunit ribosomal RNA", at positions 86 to 334 of the family's 1533-position model. The record is from RNAcentral.
AGAUGGCGACCGGCGCACGGGUGAGUAACACGUAUCCAACCUGCCGAUAACUCGGGGAUAGCCUUUCGAAAGAAAGAUUAAUACCCGAUGGCAUAAUGGAACCGCAUGGUUUGAUUAUUAAAGAAUUUCGGUUAUCGAUGGGGAUGCGUUCCAUUAGGCAGUUGGUGGGGUAACGGCCCACCAAACCUUCGAUGGAUAGGGGUUCUGAGAGGAAGGUCCCCCACAUUGGAACUGAGACACGGUCCAA